UUUGUAAAUUUCCGAAAUGCCCAAAAUUCUCCUUUCACCCGUUUUUAAUUUCUGGAUCUAAGCUUUGACAGAGAUUUUUAUUUUUUUUUCUCUCGAAUGAAUCUAUAUGAUGGAGAAAAGAAAAGGAAAAGCAAGUGAUAAUAAGGAAGAAGAAGAAGAUCCAGUAAUGGAUUAGUGAAAAAAAUAAGAAAAAUAUAUAGAUUCAUCAAAUUGGGAUUUUUUCUAAACUUUUUUAUCUUAUUAUUCAUCUGGAUUUCAAUCUUUAAUGGUGGAAAACGAAGGUUGUCUAUUCAAACGAUAUGAUUUAGUAGACUAAAGUGAUGAUUACCGGUCUUCCUGUUUCCGUUCGUUGUUUUCAUCUGUUCGUGAGGAUAUGCGAGACAUCACAAUGAUUCAUAUUAUUGCUGUUUAGGGGACAUCUUAGUUCUUUAUUAAUUCUAUUUCUGAUGAUUAAGUAGGAAAUCCAACUCCUAAUGGUGGAUAGAUGGAGAAUUAAAAUAAUGAUGUGAAUUUUGUCUGAAAGCAAACUUAAGAAUCAAUUGAUCUCAAGAUGGCUGAGAUUAUCAUUGAAAACAUUGAUGAAUGUAAUCAAAGAAGUUAGCAGCGAGGAAAAUGUUACGCAGGUUUCUCAUGAAUGCAUUUAAUUACAAAUGUGCUAGAAAAUGGUUAAUGGAAUGGAUGAAAGUUUUUUUUUGAAAUCCGAGUGCAAAACAUUAUGUGAACCUAAUAUAUGAAGUUAAUUAUGGAUGAAAUAAGUCUACCGCGGAAGUCAUGAGGAAAUGAAGCAAAGUUAUAGUAUGGGAAAGUCACCGGUGGUUGGAACUAAAUUAGCCUACAUAUGAGGCUGAUUUGGUGGUGGUACAUAGAAAUACGUACUGGGUUCCUACUUGAUACAUAUCGAUGUGUAUUGUAUUUUCACUUUGUACAUGUCUAUAUGUAAUGGUU
Molecule: long non-coding RNA, 945 nt
Organism: Papaver somniferum (opium poppy)
Lineage: Eukaryota; Viridiplantae; Streptophyta; Magnoliopsida; Ranunculales; Papaveraceae
Exons: 3
Source: RefSeq, a predicted model, not a curated record